UGUUCACUUUCUCGUGGCAAAUUGAUUGUAUUCUCAACACUUGUUCAUCAUGGGGAAUAUUCCUUCUGUGUGCCAUGUAAACAAAUUGCUAAGUACAUUCUUAACAGAGUAGGUAUAAUGAGAAGCUGAUUGAGUAGCAAUUUGUCAACUACCUUUUGGAAGUGCAUGAAGUGUAUUAUCCUCAUCCUAUCUGUCCCUUCAUCGAAAAACCCAAUUAAGAGAGCCAUCUUCUGGUGGAGUACUAUCCUAUUUGGAUGCACGUGUAUUUUUUAAAUGAUGUCUGUGACGAUCUGUUGCAGUGAAAAGGAGCAGGAUCCACGUUUCUUCUUUGCGUUGGCCCAGCUGUGAAGCCAAUUGUGAAACUGCAAAUGUAUUCCCAGCUUUAGACCAAUGAGCUAAACUGUGGCCAAGGAUUAAUUAUGGGAUCUCUCCAGUCUGAUGGACUCCACACUACACUGGGUGCUGCAUUCACUCACUGUCACUGUUAAAUAUGUUAUCAAA
This is a long non-coding RNA of Rhincodon typus (whale shark), 501 nucleotides long. RefSeq lists it as uncharacterized. Lineage: Eukaryota; Metazoa; Chordata; Chondrichthyes; Orectolobiformes; Rhincodontidae. The transcript is spliced from 3 exons. The record is from RefSeq and is a predicted model, not a curated record.